GUGCCAGCAGGCCGCGGGAGGCGCCGACGAUCAGUAUGUUCUUUGGCAACCCGCAAUCUCGAAGGUCAUGACGUGGGCAAGAAUAGCGCGAGGACCAGCUUCGCGGCCAGUAGGCCGGCAUGCGGCAAUCGACCACUGCCCGAGUGUUGCAAGCCGUUUCGUUGCGAUGGCCAGAGCCGCUCUGUUUCGGCUCUCAUGGGCUAGCUUUGCAGUGCGCCCGGCAAUGAAUCAGCAACCCUGGAGGACCCAAUGCCCGAACAGCAGACCCAAUCGACCCCCCGCUGGCACGCUCGUCCGGCCGAAGAGGCCCUGCUGGAACUGGGCUCCAACAGCGCCGGCCUGACGCACGAGCAAGCACGGGAGCGACUGCUCCGCUACGGGCCGAACCGGCUCGACGAGGCCAAGCCGGCGGGCAUCCUGCGGCGCCUGCUGCGCCACCUGAACAACCUGUUGCUCUACGUGCUGAUGGCCGCGGCCUGCUGGCACAA
This 488-nucleotide ribosomal RNA is filed under the name uncultured Desulfovibrio sp. RNAcentral describes it as "partial 16S ribosomal RNA". The record is from RNAcentral. Lineage: Bacteria; Pseudomonadati; Thermodesulfobacteriota; Desulfovibrionia; Desulfovibrionales; Desulfovibrionaceae.